UCAACCUAUCCUGGCGUUGUGAAGCAGAAUUCACCCAGUGGUGGGUUGUCCACUCACUGAUAGGGAAUGUGAGCUGGGUUUAGACCAUCGUGAGACAGGUU
This 101-nucleotide non-coding RNA is filed under the name Scleropages formosus (Asian bonytongue). Its description in RNAcentral is "Eukaryotic large subunit ribosomal RNA". It matches the Rfam family "Eukaryotic large subunit ribosomal RNA", at positions 2884 to 2984 of the family's 3401-position model. Lineage: Eukaryota; Metazoa; Chordata; Actinopteri; Osteoglossiformes; Osteoglossidae. The record is from Rfam by way of RNAcentral.